CCAAGGGUUUUAGUAGCCCUAGGAGUGAGUGCUAUGAUUAGAAGGAAGAUGCCAUGCUUAAGCUGACACAUUGACAAACAAUGCAGGGGGAUAAAAUUAAAGUGCUUGCAGCACCUUGGUGGACUCCUGAUCAUUUGGUCUGAUGAAAGCAUGUCCACUUUAUUGUCCUCUCUCUUUCUCUUUUCCACAGGGGCUCAAACUCAACUGGAUAGUUUUGAUUGGUGCUGCAAGAGUACUUGAUGCAUGGUCAUCUGAUAGAACCCCAUCUUUUUCCUGUUCACUGAAUCAGCAUGUAUUUCACACCUAGUAAAAUACUACUUUUGCUGGUGA
Molecule: long non-coding RNA, 330 nt
Organism: Brachypodium distachyon (stiff brome)
Lineage: Eukaryota; Viridiplantae; Streptophyta; Magnoliopsida; Poales; Poaceae
Exons: 2
Source: RefSeq, a predicted model, not a curated record